This 253-nucleotide ribosomal RNA is filed under the name uncultured bacterium. Its description in RNAcentral is "partial 16S ribosomal RNA". It matches the Rfam family "Bacterial small subunit ribosomal RNA", at positions 524 to 776 of the family's 1533-position model. The record is from RNAcentral.
UACAGAGGGUGCGAGCGUUGUCCGGAUUUACUGGGCGUAAAGAGCGCGCAGGCGGUCGUCCAAGUCGCGUGUGAAAGCCCCCGGCUCAACUGGGGAGGGUCACGCGAUACUGGUCGACUCGAAGGCAGGAGAGGGUAGUGGAAUUCCCGGUGUAGUGGUGAAAUGCGUAGAUAUCGGGAGGAACACCAGUGGCGAAGGCGACUACCUGGCCUGUUCUUGACGCUGAGGCGCGAAAGCUAGGGGAGCAAACGGG